UACAGAGGGGGCGAGCGUUGUCCGGAAUUACUGGGCGUAAAGAGCUCGUAGGUGGUUUGUCACGUUGUCCGUGAAAACUCACAACUCAAUUGUGGGCGUGCGGGCGAUACGGGCAGACUGGAGUACUGCAGGGGAGACUGGAAUUCCUGGUGUAGCGGUGGAAUGCGCAGAUAUCAGGAGGAACACCGGUGGCGAAGGCGGGUCUCUGGGCAGUAACUGACGCUGAGGAGCGAAAGCGUGGGGAGCGAACAGG
RNAcentral lists this ribosomal RNA (253 nucleotides) under uncultured bacterium. RNAcentral's name for it is "partial 16S ribosomal RNA". It matches the Rfam family "Bacterial small subunit ribosomal RNA", at positions 524 to 776 of the family's 1533-position model. The record is from RNAcentral.